This 233-nucleotide ribosomal RNA is filed under the name uncultured bacterium. Its description in RNAcentral is "partial 16S ribosomal RNA". It matches the Rfam family "Bacterial small subunit ribosomal RNA", at positions 15 to 236 of the family's 1533-position model. The record is from RNAcentral.
GAUCAUGGCUCAGGAUGAACGCUAGCUACAGGCUUAACACAUGCAAGUCGAGGGGAAACGGAUAUUGGAAGCUUGCUUCCGAUAGGCGUCGACCGGCGCACGGGUGAGUAACGCGUAUCCAACCUGCCCAUCACUUGGGGAAUAACCUUGCGAAAGUAAGACUGAUGCCCAAUGACAUUUAUAGAAGGCAUCGGAAUGAAUUAAAGAUUUAUCGGUGAUGGAUGGGGAUGCGU